UUGAGUGGUUGUAAAGUUUUCCAAUAUUUUCCUAUUUUUCCAUGACAAUUACCGAUGAAUUCAUAAGAAUUCAAGUUUACUUCUGUGCAACUUGUUUGUGAUGUGAUUUAUUCUGUAUGAGUUUUGGAUCACCUUUCAUAUUUCUUAAUUAUAACGUGUAGGAAGCCAAGGAAGGAACGUGAAAGGCAACUAGCCUACGAGUAGCCUACCAUCAAUUCUUUCAUUCAAAAUCGUCGUUCUGUUGAAUGCUUCAUCAUGAUAAUACGGCCACUAACCCCAGCGUAGACACUAGUUGUUUUUUCUAAACAUGUUUUCUACAAAUAAUGCAUUGACAGACAAAGAAAGUUAUGGGAACAUAAUCAAGGCCACGGGUAAUCUUCAUCAGGUUUAUUGCAUCAACUUAAUGAGAUAAUUCUCUUGAAAAGAUGCAGGACACAUACCAACAUGUGCUAUAUUUUUCUGAAUGUUUUACUCGAGCAGUAGGAACGCAAUCAACUUUAGCGCAAUUAGUUUAUAGCGCC
Molecule: long non-coding RNA, 521 nt
Organism: Daphnia pulicaria
Lineage: Eukaryota; Metazoa; Arthropoda; Branchiopoda; Diplostraca; Daphniidae
Exons: 3
Source: RefSeq, a predicted model, not a curated record